CAUAUUUGAACAAUGCCAUGCAAGAACAGCUAAGUAAAUAUCUCAGGUUGAACUGAUGACUCGUGAAUACGUGCGCCCUUUACCUGUAUCGUGAAGAUGAUGUGUGUCAAAGUCCGCGCUCCAUGGCUACUCAUACGGUGAUACAUCUAUUACUUGGCCAACCUCAGUUAAGCGGCCAAUUGUUCGGUCCCGGGGGCGGCCGCUGCAUACAGGUACCACUGUAUCAAGAAGUCAACUGGAAUAACUUUUUCAAAGCCCAAGGUUUUGGAUAAUCAGUACACAGUUGUGGAAUCACUUUUCUCCCGCCCUUUUCAAAAAGCUCGGGCGCUUUGGGGCGAGUUGUCAGAUCCCACCGAGAUUGAAUUCUCGCCAGGAAAUUUUGUUUAAUACUAGUAUAUUUUAUUCUAUGAUUUAAAAAAAAAUAAUACUUAAGAACUUAACUUUCUUGUCCCAAAUUUAAUUUACUAUUAUCAGUAAGUUAAGUUGUAGCCUGCUCUCCAGUGCGUUAAUUCGGAAGUUCCUUUUUAUAUUUUGGUUUCGGGGUUCCUGUUGCGAGAAAAAACGAAGGGUAGGGGAGAAAGCCCCCCCCCCCCCCCCCCCCCACCCAAUUCUCGAUUUAUUUGCGCCACAGGGAUUCUGAACAAGGAAAUCACACAAGAGAACCGGCACGCAGACUGGUUAAUUUGCUUUAUGGGAAAUAUUUUUGGCACUUUUAUAUGAUGGAACUUAAAUUAACUCUUUUUUAGCACUUUGUUGAAAAAACGCAACAAAAGAAAUGGGUAAGGACAUGUUCCUUCAAUAAAAAUGCUUUUAUCUUUUUCACAUAACAAUUUCCUUUGGCAGCCCAUAGGAGGGGCGGAGGGGUUAAGCUACUGCCACCCCCCCCCCCCCCCCCAAACUCUGUAACGUAUUAAGGUAUUACAUUAUGCAUAUAACAUUUUCUGGCAAACGCUUUUACAUUUUGCGCUAAUCAAGGUAUACAAUUUUUGGCAAAUUGUAAUACAAGUUGCGUUGGCUUUACACCCACUUCCCUGGUUACACCAUCCAUAUUGAUGAUACAAUAUUUCAAAGUUUGGCUUACAAAAGUUACCUCAUUUUAUUAAAUAACAAUUUUAUUUAGCAAUUAUAAAAACAUUACAAAACGAUUAUCUGUUAAAAGGAAAGUGAUCCUACACAACUCUGCAAUUUAAAAUAUAUAGAUAUCAAACAAUUACUGCAAGGACAAAAAAUUACUUUAAAUUAUUAUUGUUUCCUUAUUAUCCCAGUCCCUCUUGUAGACUCAUGUAGAGGCAGGAACAGGGGUACGUCCCAGACACCUCAACCUCCUCAAAUACAACAAAAGAUUCAACAAGGAUGGAGAUCAGACACUGCACUAUAUGAUACAAAAAACUAAAAGUGGACAGAAUGAAUGCAUAUAACGAGCUGUGGUAGGUCUUAAAUAUUGAGGCGGGCAACGCAAUGAUAUAGAAACACAGCACAGCCAUGUUCCUACAUACAUAUCUGUGUUUUUUUAUUUGGGGGGGGGGGCAUAUGCACCCAGCUGAUUUAUGAGGCUUUUUAAGGCAUCCCUAUUGGUAAAAGGCCUUGAAAGCAACUGAAAACAUUUAAACUGUUCUUAGCUUUGGUUCUUGAAUUACAGAGAAUUACAUGAGAUUUUGAAAGAAAAGUUUAAUGACUAAAAGGAAUUGGAUGUAAAAGUGUAGUGUCAAAAUUCAAUCUUAAUUGGGUCCUUAUUUGAAAGGAACAGUUGUUGACAAAGGGCACUUAAUUGAUUCAUUACUGCACAGGUGGCCCAGGCUCAAGGCAAGUGAUCUAAGAGUGAGUGAACUUUAGUUUUUCAUAAUCUUGUUCAAAAAUAAACAUUCUGACUUCAUUAAAAAGAAGUUUCACAAUGUA
Nematostella vectensis (starlet sea anemone) is the source of this 1896-nucleotide long non-coding RNA. RefSeq lists it as uncharacterized. The transcript has 2 exons. The record is from RefSeq and is a predicted model, not a curated record. Lineage: Eukaryota; Metazoa; Cnidaria; Anthozoa; Actiniaria; Edwardsiidae.